GACGAACGCUGGCGGCGUGCUUAACACAUGCAAGUCGAACGGAAAGGCCCUGCUUUUGUGGGGUGCUCGAGUGGCGAACGGGUGAGUAACACGUGAGUAACCUGCCCUUGACUUUGGGAUAACUUCAGGAAACUGGGGCUAAUACCGGAUAGGAGCUCCUGCUGCAUGGUGGGGGUUGGAAAGUUUCGGCGGUUGGGGAUGGACUCGCGGCUUAUCAGCUUGUUGGUGGGGUGGUGGCUUACCAAGGCUUUGACGGGUAGCCGGCCUGAGAGGGUGACCGGCCACAUUGGGACUGCGAUACGGACCAGACUCCUACGGGAGGCAGCAGUGGGGAAUAUUGCACAAUGGGCGGAAGCCUGAUGCAGCAACGCCGCGUGCGGGAUGACGGCCUUCGGGUUGUAAACCGCUUUCGCCUGUGACGAAGCGUGAGUGACGGUAAUGGGUAAAGAAGCACCGGCUAACUACGUG
This 468-nucleotide ribosomal RNA is filed under the name uncultured bacterium. RNAcentral describes it as "partial 16S ribosomal RNA". It matches the Rfam family "Bacterial small subunit ribosomal RNA", at positions 28 to 507 of the family's 1533-position model. The record is from RNAcentral.